This 320-nucleotide ribosomal RNA is filed under the name uncultured eukaryote. Its description in RNAcentral is "partial 18S ribosomal RNA". It matches the Rfam family "Eukaryotic small subunit ribosomal RNA", at positions 1470 to 1796 of the family's 1831-position model. The record is from RNAcentral.
CCCCUAGAUGUUCUGGGCCGCACGCGCGCUACACUGAACAGUUCAACAAGUCUUAACCUUGGCCGAUAGGACUGGGUAAUCUUUGAACGCUGUUCGUGACUGGGAUAGACCUUUGCAAUUAUGGGUCUUCAACGAGGAAUUCCUAGUAAACGCAAGUCAUCAGCUUGCAUUGAUUACGUCCCUGCCCUUUGUACACACCGCCCGUCGCACCUACCGAUUGAAUGGUCCGGUGAAAUCUCGGGACGGCGGCUUGGUCGCUUGCGUCCGACUGCUGAAACUUGAUUAAACCAUAUCAUUUAGAGGAAGGUGAAGUCGUAACA